Setaria italica (foxtail millet) is the source of this 843-nucleotide long non-coding RNA. RefSeq lists it as uncharacterized. The transcript has 3 exons. Lineage: Eukaryota; Viridiplantae; Streptophyta; Magnoliopsida; Poales; Poaceae. The record is from RefSeq and is a predicted model, not a curated record.
UGACGGGGCCGGCAGAUUCGGCCUCAUCGGUCGGCGUCGACGGCCUCAGCUUCCUUCUCCGUAUAAAUGCGCACAAGCGCUCUAGCAGUAAACGAGAUGAGGCCGCCGAACCACUCACUACUCUAGCUAAGCACCGGUCCUCUCCGAUCCCGUCGCCUUCGACGCUUUCCCCCAUCCGCCUAAACCAAAACCAAUCAGCAAAUCCACCACCCGCUCAUCUCGAGCACGGUCGUCGAGGAUGAGCGACCCGAGGUACGCCAGCUACCCUUACCCGGCGCAAGGUUACUACCAAGGGCCGUACCAGGGCCCGCCGGUGAUGGCGCCGCCGCAGUACCAGUACGGCCCGCCGCCGCCGCGCAGGUCGCCGGGCUUCCUCGAGGGCUGCCUGGCGGCGCUGUGCUGCUGCUGUCUCCUCGACGAGUGCUGCUGCGACCCCUCCAUCAUCUUCGUCUCCUGAUCCAGAGAGGCUGCAGAGACGACCCAGCUGAGACUUCGUUCGACACCCUGCAGCUAGCGCCCAAGGGUGCAAUGCAAGUACGCGGCGGGCAGCUUUGGUUUUCGUGUAGUGUGUUCUUCCAUGACCGUGAUUGUAUCAACAGUGUGAUGUAUGCAUGAUUUGUUCUUCUUCCUGGAGACCUGGACUCAUGUAUGCAUGUGUAUGUAAUUAAGUUCAUCCUGCUUACUGCUGCUGCCUGUAUGGAGUUUCGAUGAGUUGGUUUUACCCGUUUACUUUUCCUUCUUUUUCUGGAAAACAUUUUGAGGAGACCUGUGUUGCUUUCGGCUUCAUGUAAUUUGUUCGUCGCUACACUAUCUUAUUUUCAGAUGGCUGAUUUUUUAUUUGUA